Molecule: ribosomal RNA, 253 nt
Filed under: uncultured bacterium
Lineage: Bacteria
Description: partial 16S ribosomal RNA
Rfam family: Bacterial small subunit ribosomal RNA
Source: RNAcentral
UACGUAGGGUCCAAGCGUUAUCCGGAAUCACUGGGCGUAAAGGGUGCGUAGGCGGCCAUGUAAGUGGGGUGUGAAAUCCCUCGGCUCAACCGAGGAACUGCGCUCCAUACUGCAUGGCUUGAGGGAGACAGGGGUAAGCGGAACUGAUGGUGGAGCGGUGAAAUGCGUUGAUAUCAUCAGGAACACCGGUGGCGAAAGCGGCUUACUGGGUCUCUUCUGACGCUGAGGUACGAAAGCUAGGGGAGCGAACGGG